RNAcentral lists this small RNA (106 nucleotides) under Bacillus sp. MUM 116. RNAcentral's name for it is "BsrF". It matches the Rfam family "BsrF". Lineage: Bacteria; Bacillati; Bacillota; Bacilli; Caryophanales; Bacillaceae. The record is from Rfam by way of RNAcentral.
GCGAUGAGCUGAGUUGUGUAAGCCGAAGAACAUUCCUUUUGGAACACACAAUGUGGAGUGUGGUUCUUCGCCUCAAUACGCGAGAGACGCCAGUAUAACUGGCGUC